GAGCGAACGUUUGCGGCGGGCUUAACACAUGCAAGUCGAACGAGAAUCCCUUCGGGGAGGAAAGUGGCGCACGGGUGCGUAACACGUGGAUGACCUACCCCUUGGUUCGGGACAACAGCGGGAAACUGCUGCUAAUACCGGAUGUGUCGUAGCAAUACGAGAAAGGCCCGCAAGGGUCGCCAGAGGACGGGUCCGCGUCCCAUCAGCUAGUUGGUGAGGUAAUGGCUCACCAAGGCGAAGACGGGUAGCUGGUCUGAGAGGAUGAUCAGCCACACUGGAACUGAGACACGGUCCAGACUCCUACGGGAGGCAGCAGUGGGGAAUAUUGCGCAAUGGGCGAAAGCCUGACGCAGCCACGCCGCGUGAGCGAUGAAGGUCUUCGGAUCGUAAAGCUCUGUGGGGGGAGAAGAAGAAAGUCGGUGAAGAGCCGACCCUGACGGUAUCCCUUAGCAAGCACCGGCUAACUCCGUGCCAGCAGCCGCGGUAAUACGGAGGGUGCAAACGUUGCUCGGAAUCAUUGGGACG
This 525-nucleotide ribosomal RNA is filed under the name uncultured bacterium. RNAcentral describes it as "bacterial SSU rRNA". It matches the Rfam family "Bacterial small subunit ribosomal RNA", at positions 27 to 561 of the family's 1533-position model. The record is from RNAcentral.